ACUAUGCGACGAUUCAGCUCACGUAUCCUCUCUCUCUCUCACGAAGAAAACGGCGCGGUGAACUUCGCACGUAUCUCCGAUCAAACAAGUACAGCGCCGCCGUGAAUCGAACCACGAGCGUCGCUCUCCCUCGCCUUUCAUCUCAAUCUCAGAUCCUAAUUUGUAUCUUUCUCAGAUUCUCCUCUCUUCGUCCCUAAUCUAAUGUAAAACGAAACCCUAGGUCUAAGAAGAAAUGCAAUUAAGCCUCCACGAUUAACAAUCGAGGAGCGAGAUCAUGGGAAAAAUAAUCAGAAGACAGUAAUCUACUGUAUGGCAUCAAAAAAAUAGCGUAAAGAGAUGAAGAGAGUUUGAGGAGUUCGCGUUUACCUACCGGAGUCAGUCCGGCGCUCCUUCGACGGCGUCGAUUUGGCGAAAUAAACGCGAGGAAGUCUUCACUUCAGGUGCAUGAUACAGAUUGGAAGCGGCUCGGUGAACGCAAAAGGCUUGGCAUAGUAGGAUGAGGAGAGUGGAUCAGGGCAUGGGAUAAGGCUUGAAGAUAAGGAGAAAUGUGAAGAUGGAAUAGAAUUGAAGAUUAUACUUAGAAAUUAGUAUAUACUUUACUGUAUAACAUUCUUGUGAUGUAAGGUGCAACUGGACAGAAGCGAAUGUGGAUGUGGUUGUGUGAUGUAAAUUAUAAUGAUUGUUUUGCCA
Long non-coding RNA from Vicia villosa (hairy vetch), 690 nucleotides. RefSeq lists it as uncharacterized. The transcript has 2 exons. The record is from RefSeq and is a predicted model, not a curated record. NCBI's taxonomy places the organism in Eukaryota, Viridiplantae, Streptophyta, Magnoliopsida, Fabales, Fabaceae.